This 454-nucleotide ribosomal RNA is filed under the name uncultured bacterium. Its description in RNAcentral is "bacterial SSU rRNA". It matches the Rfam family "Bacterial small subunit ribosomal RNA", at positions 28 to 443 of the family's 1533-position model. The record is from RNAcentral.
GAUGAACGCUGGCGGCGUGCCUAAUACAUGCAAGUCGAACGCAUUGUGGUUGAAAUGAUAUGAAGAACUUGUUCAGAUUUGAUUUUCAACAUUGCAAUGAGUGGCGAACGGGUGAGUAACACGUGGGAAACCUACCUCUUAGCAGGGGAUAACAUUUGGAAACAAAUGCUAAUACCGUAUAAUAAUUAAAAACCGCAUGGUUUUAGUUUAAAAGAUGGUCUUGCUAUCACUAAGAGAUGGUCCCGCGGUGUAUUAGUUAGUUGGUGAGGUAAUGGCUCACCAAGACAAUGAUACAUAGCCGAGUUGAGAGACUGACCGGCCACAAUGGGACUGAGACACGGCCCAUACUCCUACGGGAGCAGCAGUAGGGAAUCUUCCACAAUGGACGAAAGUCUGAUGGAGCAACGCCGCGUGUGUGAUGAAGGGUUUCGGCUCGUAAAACACUGUUGUAAAG